GUGGGGAAUAUUGGACAAUGGGGGGAACCCUGAUCCAGCCAUGCCGCGUGUGUGAAGAAGGCCUUUUGGUUGUAAAGCACUUUAAGCGAGGAGGAGGCUACCGAGAUUAAUACUCUUGGAUAGUGGACGUUACUCGCAGAAUAAGCACCGGCUAACUCUGUGCCAGCAGCCGCGGUAAUACAGAGGGUGCAAGCGUUAAUCGGAUUUACUGGGCGUAAAGCGCGCGUAGGUGGCCAAUUAAGUCAAAUGUGAAAUCCCCGAGCUUAACUUGGGAGUUGCAUUCGAUACUGGUUGGCUAGAGUAUGGGAGAGGAUGGUAGAAUUCCAGGUGUAGCGGUGAAAUGCGUAGAGAUCUGGAGGAAUACCGAUGGCGAAGGCAGCCAUCUGGCCUAAUACUGACACUGAGGUGCGAAAGCAUGGGGAGCAAACAGGAUUAGAAACCCUGGUAGUCC
RNAcentral lists this ribosomal RNA (451 nucleotides) under uncultured bacterium. RNAcentral describes it as "partial 16S ribosomal RNA". It matches the Rfam family "Bacterial small subunit ribosomal RNA", at positions 354 to 796 of the family's 1533-position model. The record is from RNAcentral.